Anas platyrhynchos (mallard) is the source of this 4920-nucleotide non-coding RNA. Lineage: Eukaryota; Metazoa; Chordata; Aves; Anseriformes; Anatidae. The record is from RefSeq and is a predicted model, not a curated record.
CCUACGUCUGUUACCGAUGGUUGGCAAGAGGGACCCGGGAACCUGAUGCCAGUGCAGAGCUGCGCACCUCGGAUGGAAGAACUCCGUGCAGUGCUGGCUGGGCACUGGCUGGCUGGAAAGUAACUUUGUACAACAAGAGACGGGGACCUGGUGAACAAACAGAACACAAUUUGGUGUGGUACCCAUCUAGGAAAAUAGGCCAUGGGACUGCAUUAGCAAGAGCGUAGCCAGCAAGCAAGGGAAAGGAGGGUUUCCCUCCCUUCAGCACAUGGGAGAUGGCACCUGGAGUUGAGUGCAGUUAUGGAUUUCCUAAUAAGAAAGACAUUGACAUGUUAGGACACAUUAGUGUGUCUCAAAAAUGAAAAACAAAACAAGGAAAAGUAAUAUGACUGGUGAAAUGAGCAACAGAUUGAGGGCAAUUUCCCAAUGUGUAAUUCACAGUUAAUAAUAUCAACUGCAUUUAGUCUAUUUUCAAGUAAUGUGUUCAGGCAGGUUGUGAUUUCCUAAAAACGCUUCCUUCCUUUGCUGAUCUAAGGCAAUGCACUGAACGUAACAGAAAGACUUCCAUUAAUAAGGACACCAUGAUUGUUUUGGCUUUGUGGAUUGGCCCUCAAGAAAAUCUCUGCAACCAAUAGCAUUUAUAGAAAAGGAUGGAAGGGUUAUUUUCUAAGGUUCAUUUCUUAUUGGUUUAUCCUUGCACUGCAAGUCAUAAUAAAUAUUAGUUUCUACUAAUAAGCAGUAUUCUUGGAGAUGAGCGGUUCCUGCACUGCUUUCCAUGCUUGCUACAGUACCCCUGUUUUUAAAGGUGACUCAAAUGCUUCCUUGUACAGUUUUAAACUUUGGUUUCUGCUAACUCAUGAUAAGAGUCCGCAAAGCCUUGUGUCAAUAAUGCCAAGCUCUACCAAGUGGCUACAAAAGGAGUAUGAGCUUGGUUAAACGCAGUCACUUACAGAGAGGAUAUUUAAGCGGAGAGUUCUUACGCUGUCAGUGUUAUACCCAUUCCCAUUCGGAUCUCUGUUAUAUGAUCAUGAAGUGCAAAGUAAAGCUCUACGGUGUUAACUACGUCCAUGAUCAUACAUCCAUCCCAAGUGUUUAUUCAAUCUGAAAUACAGCUUUCAGAAAGAUGUUGUCAGUGACAGCUCCCAGGGUAAAAAUAAUCUUCAGGAAGCACUGACAUGAACAUGAAGGCCAGCUCUCUGUUCUUCAAGUUUUGGCAAACCACGGAGCCCCUCUCUGCACCUUUUGCUCCACUUUGCUACUGCUGCCAGGCUCAUCAUAGGUCUGCACGCAAAGAACAGCACAGGAUAAAGCACUGGCAUAACAUUGGUUGAGAUGUUUAUCUGAUAGCACUCUCCCUGACACAGUCUGGGAGACAGUCUGUGGCCAGCCAGCAUUCUCAAAAUGCCCAGGCAUAGUGUGAGACAUGGUACUGGGUGAGGAUUAUCCUCACCAGGCAGCACAAGCCAACGCCGCCUCGAAAGGGAGGAGCACAACCUAGUCCUACAGACAUGAAUCCUACUGUGCCAGGGAAACGGGCUUGGUUGAUUCUGCUGGCUUUGACAAAGUCAAAAGGAUGAGGGCUUCCUUUUUUGGGAACCUUCCAAAGGCAAUAGCUUAUUUUCCCAGGAUCUUUUCAUCUGCUAAAUAAUGUUCCGACACAGUAAUGUCUGUGCAAAUGAAAACAAUCAUUUUGCAUGCCUUUACUAAUGAAACAAAACACUAAUUCUACUAGUGAGUUCUCCCAUAGAGUUUCCAAAUGAAACAUUCAUCAGAAUUCAACAUUAUAGCAAAAUCAGAACGAUAAUAUUGACUAGGCACAAUCAGACAUUAAUUGCUUGUCACGCCAUGAUGAAUGUUUUUCUUUAUCUAUGUGAUUAUAUCUAUACACUAUGCUGUAGUACUACUGUUCUGUAAGAAGAGUCUGAUUUUCUGGGGUAAUAUGUUCAUCCCUUAACAGUACGAAAAAGCCCUGUAUUGAUUAUUUUAAAUUCACAGCAGGCUUCUCCCCUGUGACUAAUUGUGCAUUCUGUUGUGCUUCCAGCCUCCCGUCCCUCUGCACAGCUCCUAUGAAUCUUUAAUUCCCUUCUAACUCAGAGAUGCCAGAGUCACUUUUCAUCAUCACGUCCACUCAGCCGAAUUCCAAUGAUCGCCACAAAACAGAGGACCAAAAUAUAUUUUUGAGAUUGAUUGUUUCACGAGCUCUAUUGUUUCACCAGCUGUAUUAAGAGAACAUUAACUUUCAUUCCACCACGCGUUCUUCCUAGCAGGUUUUCAAACAGCAUUUCCUCUGAUAAUUUCAAAUAUGUGGGAGCAGGGUGGGAAAAUAAAAGACCUUUCAAUAUCAAGAGAUCCCUUGGAAAAAAUCUUUCCAUGAAAUGGAUCGUUUUUCAGUAAGUUCUUUCUUUUCAGGAAGUAGAAGUAUUUCACUAAAACUGUAGUGAGAAAGAUUUCUACAUAUAUAGAGUGAUUUUUUCUCCCUCUUUGAUCAGCCUUAUCUUUAGUGGUCGUAACAUUUCAUUUAUUAUUUAGUUAUGCUGCUUUUUCUCCCCCAUGUUUUGAUAGAAUUUUUCAACUGUAUUGUAUUUAUAUUUUACAUGAAUGAAUCAUGUCCAUUAACUUUCUUUUCUAUAUUCAGAUAAGACUUGUUGUUGCUUUCCUUACAGUUGCAUUGUUUUUUCCUUUGCGAUGAAGUGCAGGAGCAACGUGAUUUUUACAUCCAUUUGCUAUAUCUUUGAAACCAAUAAUUUUUAAUAUGACAACUUUAAUUUUCACAAUGCUAUUAUCAUCUCCUCAGUAUUAUUUCUGAAAACAGUAAAGCUGGAAGGAUGCAGCGUAACUUUACAGAGCGAUAUAUGCAGCUGGUGGAGGCCUCACAGGCAGCAGGAAAACCAAAGUGAGAGGAGAACGCCAAAGGGAGAGCAAACCCUCAGCGAACCCAUGGCUUCAUUCAGGCUGGAUGGCCCGGGGUGAGACACAGCAGACAGCUUCAGCGACCCCAGGAGAAUUGCUGGCGAGUCACAGGCCCCUUCCCAGAAAGGCAAAUGAGAAGCUCCUGCUUCUGGUGUGAGGAGCGGGCACCUUCCCCGCUGGCUCUGGCAGCUGAGCCGCAGGGGCUAUGGGGGCUGAUCCCCUGUGCUCAAACCCCACAGCACGUACACCAGUGUGUGGAUGUGAUAUAGGCAGCAGAGGGAAACUUGCAGGAGGAAAGCACAACAUUCCAAACAUUUCUAGUGCAAGGUAGCCUGCCCUCAUAAACAGAUUCAAAGCCUUGUUCCUUCCUUCUUUCCCGUUAACUUGUUUCUUUUCCUAUUUGUCUACAGAAACGACCAGUUCAAGCCGUUAUACCUAGCUGUAUCAAGAACACACAAAAGAAACACACAGAAUGCUGUACCCACUGACUUAUCCCACACCUGAGAUUAAAAUCAGAAACAAAUCUCAUUGUUCCUUCAACAUUUCCUUAGAUGUUUUUAAUAUAGCUGCAGCUAAUAAACAAAUUUUUAGAUAUGGGGCAGUGGACCCUGAAAGCAUGGUCUGACCAGAUGGGUACAAGCAUAGAGACAAAUCAGUAAUUCAAGAUAAAUGAGGCUUCAUGGCCCCUGUAGGAAACGAGUGACAGAUCUCAUGCUCAGAGCAUUAACAUGACAUAAAUUCAAAAGACUGGAAAUUUAUGUGGACCGUUAACACUGCACACAUGUGCACAAACACAUGCAAUUUCUUAAUCAGUCCUGGCUCGAUUUCCAUGUACCAGCCCCAGGUCAGGAAGGGUGAAUGCUUGCAAUCAAUAUCCAGUUGUUAGAGUAACAGCCAUGUCGGUUCUGGAUGGCUGAGUGGGUGAAAACAUGUUUGUUCUACUUAAUGUGACACAGUCCCGUCAAAUUAACAACCACGAUGGCAGGAGCAGGCUUGCUUAAUGGGCUGAAGUCAGUUCCACAGAGGAUUUAUUAUCAACACUCAACCAAUAGAUCCGAAACCUCAUUACUAAAGGUUUAUUUGCCGAUAAUAACUGAAGGCACACUUUAUGUACAUAGGCAUUGUCUGAUUUUAAAGAUACAGCACGCUACACCGCUCAGCAAACAGACUGCCUCUGAACUGCCAUAACCUCGAGGUAACACCACACCUGUAUGUCAGCUGGGUGCUGCAGUUAUUUAGCCACCUCCUUGCCUGGUUAAGCUACAAUAGGUGCUACCCUUACACAUGCAAACAGUUCCUUUUUUCUGCUGAGUUCCUGUGGGGACUGUACAGGACAUGCAGACCCCAAGAAGCAAGCCCUAAGCAAGGGCUGAAGCAGCAGCUGGGGCACCCAGUGCCCAGGCAGAGCAAGCACCUGGCAGUCACCCAUGGCCCGAACCAGCUCCAUGCCUUGGAGCCACAGAGCCACCGCAGGCACCUUCUGGCAACCAGAGUGGUCACAAUUUGAGCUGAAAGCUGAGCAGCUUGAAAAUGGACUUAUUUUGGCUGCAGCUGAACAUCCUCUGACUAUGAAAUGCUGCCACCAGAGAAUUCCAGGCAGAAUGGAGAGUGCCAGUGCUUACGAGGAAGAUGAGACAGAAAGGCAGAGCUCACGGUUACCUCGUGGCUCCAUGGUUGUCCCAAUUUCUUUAUAUAUUGGUGCCAAACUGCUAAAAUAUUGCACUUAGGCAAUGUCUGAUAAAACAGGUAUAUUUCUGAAAGCUUAAAAAAAUUAAAAAAAAAACACUAAGGUUUAAGAAUAUUUAACCUACAUGUCUCACUUGCAUAGUUUGUGUUUCAAGCAAAUAAUUUGUUAAAAAUACAAUUAUGUAUGAUAAAAAAAAUCAGAUGAAUCAAUCAAAUUAAUCAGUCAAAGACUGGCAGUAUCGUGAAUUCACCCUUAAGAACAAUGAAUUAAGAAAAGCUAAUAAAGCUCUAUUUAAGAAAUAAAGAUAAUUAUUCUAACAUUUA